CUACGGGAGGCUGCAGUGGGGAAUAUUGGACAAUGGGGGAAACCCUGAUCCAGCAAUGCCGCGUGUGUGAAGAAGGCCUGCGGGUUGUAAAGCACUUUCGGUUGGGAGGACUGCUUCUAGCACUAAUAUUGUUGGAAGUUGACGUUACCUUCAGAAGAAGCACCGGCUAACUCCGUGCCAGCAGCCGCGGUAAUAGGGAGGGUGCAAGCGUUAAUCGGAAUUACUGGGCGGAAAGCGCGCGUAGGCGGCUAGAUCAGUCGGGUGUGAAAGCCCCGGGCUUAACCUGGGAACUGCAUCCGAUACUGUCUAGCUUGAGUACAGGAGAGGAGAGUGGAAUUCCACAUGUAGCGGUGAAAUGCGUAGAUAUGUGGAGGAACACCAAUGGCGAAGGCAGCUCUCUGGCCUGAGACUGACGCUGAGGUGCGAAAGCGUGGGGAGCAAACAGGAUUAGAUACCCCAGUAGUC
Molecule: ribosomal RNA, 465 nt
Filed under: uncultured bacterium
Lineage: Bacteria
Description: partial 16S ribosomal RNA
Rfam family: Bacterial small subunit ribosomal RNA
Source: RNAcentral